CCUACGGGAGGCUGCAGUGGGGAAUAUUGGACAAUGGGGGCAACCCUGAUCCAGCCAUGCCGCGUGUGUGAAGAAGGCCCUCGGGUUGUAAAGCACUUUCAGUGAGGAAGAACGCCUGGUGGUUAAUACCCAUCAGGAAAGACAUCACUCACAGAAGAGGCACCGGCUAACUCCGUGCCAGCAGCCGCGGUAAUACGGAGGGUGCGAGCGUUAAUCGGAAUUACUGGGCGUAAAGCGCGCGUAGGUGGCUUGAUAAGCCGGUUGUGAAAGCCCCGGGCUCAACCUGGGAACGGCAUCCGGAACUGUCAAGCUAGAGUGCAGGAGAGGAAGGUAGAAUUCCCGGUGUAGCGGUGAAAUGCGUAGAGAUCGGGAGGAAUACCAGUGGCGAAGGCGGCCUUCUGGACUGACACUGACACUGAGGUGCGAAAGCGUGGGUAGCAAACAGGAUUAGAUACCCUAGUAGUC
Molecule: ribosomal RNA, 465 nt
Filed under: Vreelandella stevensii
Lineage: Bacteria; Pseudomonadati; Pseudomonadota; Gammaproteobacteria; Oceanospirillales; Halomonadaceae
Description: partial 16S ribosomal RNA
Rfam family: Bacterial small subunit ribosomal RNA
Source: RNAcentral